This 131-nucleotide ribosomal RNA is filed under the name Blastocystis hominis. RNAcentral's name for it is "partial 18S ribosomal RNA". It matches the Rfam family "Eukaryotic small subunit ribosomal RNA", at positions 1678 to 1804 of the family's 1831-position model. The record is from RNAcentral. Lineage: Eukaryota; Bigyra; Opalinata; Blastocystidae.
GCACCUACCGAUUGAAUGGUCCGAUGAACACUUUGGAUUUUGAUAUAGUAAUUCUUUGCGGAAUUAUUCUAUUGAAAGAAGUUGUGUAAAUCUUACCAUUUAGAGGAAGGUGAAGUCGUAACAAGGUUUCC